Molecule: ribosomal RNA, 484 nt
Filed under: uncultured bacterium
Lineage: Bacteria
Description: partial 16S ribosomal RNA
Rfam family: Bacterial small subunit ribosomal RNA
Source: RNAcentral
AUUGAACGCUGGCGGCAGGCCUAACACAUGCAAGUCGAGCGGAUGAAGGGAGCUUGCUCCAGGAUUCAGCGGCGGACGGGUGAGUAAUGCCUAGGAAUCUGCCUGGUAGUGGGGGAUAACAUCCGGAAACGGGCGCUAAUACCGCAUACGUCCUGAGGGAGAAAGUGGGGGAUCUUCGGACCUCACGCUAUCAGAUGAGCCUAGGUCGGAUUAGCUAGUUGGUGGGGUAAAGGCCUACCAAGGCGACGAUCCGUAACUGGUCUGAGAGGAUGAUCAGUCACACUGGAACUGAGACACGGUCCAGACUCCUACGGGAGGCAGCAGUGGGGAAUAUUGGACAAUGGGCGAAAGCCUGAUCCAGCCAUGCCGCGUGUGUGAAGAAGGUCUUCGGAUUGUAAAGCACUUUAAGUUGGGAGGAAGGGCAGUAAGUUAAUACCUUGCUGUUUUGACGUUACCAACAGAAUAAGCACCGGCUAACUUCGUG